AAUUCUUCAACUUGAGAGUUUGAUCCUGGCUCAGAACGAACGCUGGCGGCAGGCUUAGCACAUGCAAGUCGAACGCAUCCUUCGGGGUGAGUGGCAGACGGGUGAGUAACGCGUGGGAACGUGCCCUUCAGUUCGGAAUAACCCAGGGAAACUUGGGCUAAUACCGGAUACGUGCGAGAGCAGAAAGAUUUAUCGCUGAAGGAUCGGCCCGCGUCUGAUUAGCUAGUUGGUGAGGUAAUGGCUCACCAAGGCGACGAUCAGUAGCUGGUCUGAGAGGAUGAUCAGCCACAUUGGGACUGAGACACGGCCCAAACUCCUACGGGAGGCAGCAGUGGGGAAUAUUGGACAAUGGGCGCAAGCCUGAUCCAGCCAUGCCGCGUGAGUGAUGAAGGCCUUAGGGUUGUAAAGCUCUUUCGGCGGGGACGAUAAUGACGGUACCCGCAGAAGAAGCCCCGGCUAACUUCGUGCCAGCAGCCGCGGUAAUACGAAGGGGGCUAGCGUUGUUCGGAAUCACUGGGCGUAAAGGGCGCGUAGGCGGCUUUAUAAGUCGGGGGUGAAAGCCUGUGGCUCAACCACAGAAUUGCCUUCGAUACUGUAUGGCUUGAGACCGGAAGAGGUUAGUGGAACUGCGAGUGUAGAGGUGAAAUUCGUAGAUAUUCGCAAGAACACCAGUGGCGAAGGCGGCUGACUGGUCCGGUUCUGACGCUGAGGCGCGAAAGCGUGGGGAGCAAACAGGAUUAGAUACCCUGGUAGUCCACGCCGUAAACGAUGAAUGCCAGCCGUUGGGCAGCUUGCUGCUCAGUGGCGCAGCUAACGCUUUAAGCAUUCCGCCUGGGGAGUACGGUCGCAAGAUU
Molecule: ribosomal RNA, 854 nt
Filed under: Microvirga aerilata
Lineage: Bacteria; Pseudomonadati; Pseudomonadota; Alphaproteobacteria; Hyphomicrobiales; Methylobacteriaceae
Description: bacterial SSU rRNA
Rfam family: Bacterial small subunit ribosomal RNA
Source: RNAcentral